UCAAAUCAGGGAUGUCCCAUUUCAUUGCAGAUUCGAGUCCAGGAAAAAACCUUACAUCCAAAGAGCAGGCAAAAUCAAAAUCGGAGAAAAAGAGAAGGUCUCCCAGAGUAAAUUUGAGGAAACCAUGGAAUGAAGAAGAAAAGGCUGCUGUGGAAAAACACCUGGGGAGACUUAUAAAAGGGUGUCAAGUGCCUGGCAAAGAACAAUGCACUGACUGCAAAAUGAAAGAGCCGCAGGCCUUGGCUCAAAGAACCUGGAAAGACGUAAAGAACUUUGUCCACAAUAAAAUUGUGACCCUCAAGAGAA
Molecule: long non-coding RNA, 306 nt
Organism: Hippocampus comes (tiger tail seahorse)
Lineage: Eukaryota; Metazoa; Chordata; Actinopteri; Syngnathiformes; Syngnathidae
Exons: 2
Source: RefSeq, a predicted model, not a curated record